GACGAACGCUGGCGGCGUGCCUAAUACAUGCGAGUUGAGCGAUGAAGCUUGGUGCUUGCACCAAUUUGAAGAGCAGCGAACGGGUGAGUAACGCGUGGGGAAUCUGCCUUUGAGCGGGGGACAACAUUUGGAAACGAAUGCUAAUACCGCAUAACAACUUUAAACAUAAGUUUUAAGUUUGAAAGAUGCAAUUGCAUCACUCAAAGAUGAUCCCGCGUUGUAUUAGCUAGUUGGUGAGGUAAAGGCUCACCAAGGCGAUGAUACAUAGCCGACCUGAGAGGGUGGUCAGCCACAUUGGGACUGAGACACGGCCCAAACUCCUACGGGAGGCAGCAGUAGUGAAUCUUCGGCAAUGGGCGGAAGUCUGACCGAGCAACGCCGCGUGAGUGAAGAAGGUUGUCGGGUCGUAAAACUCUGCUGGUAGAGAAGAACGUUGGUGAGAGUGGAAAGCUCAUCAAGUGACGGUAACUACCCAGAAAGGGACGGCUAACUACGUG
RNAcentral lists this ribosomal RNA (497 nucleotides) under uncultured bacterium. RNAcentral describes it as "partial 16S ribosomal RNA". It matches the Rfam family "Bacterial small subunit ribosomal RNA", at positions 28 to 507 of the family's 1533-position model. The record is from RNAcentral.